CGCUGGCGGCGUGCUUAACACAUGCAAGUCGAACGGUAAGGCCCUUCGGGGGUACACGAGUGGCGAACGGGUGAGUAACACGUGGGUGAUCUGCCCUGCACUUCGGGAUAAGCCUGGGAAACUGGGUCUAAUACCGGAUAGGACUCCUGGCUUCAUGGUUGGGGGUGUAAAGCUUUUGCGGUGUGGGAUGGGCCCGCGGCCUAUCAGCUUGUUGGUGGGGUAAUGGCCUACCAAGGCGACGACGGGUAGCCGGCCUGAGAGGGUGACCGGCCACACUGGGACUGAGAUACGGCCCAGACUCCUACGGGAGGCAGCAGUGGGGAAUAUUGCACAAUGGGCGCAAGCCUGAUGCAGCGACGCCGCGUGAGGGAUGACGGCCUUCGGGUUGUAAACCUCUUUCAAUAGGGACGAAGCGCAAGUGACGGUACCUAUAGAAGAAGGACCGGCCAACUACGUG
RNAcentral lists this ribosomal RNA (457 nucleotides) under uncultured bacterium. RNAcentral describes it as "bacterial SSU rRNA". It matches the Rfam family "Bacterial small subunit ribosomal RNA", at positions 34 to 507 of the family's 1533-position model. The record is from RNAcentral.